This 1257-nucleotide ribosomal RNA is filed under the name Triticum aestivum (bread wheat). RNAcentral describes it as "partial small subunit ribosomal RNA". Lineage: Eukaryota; Viridiplantae; Streptophyta; Magnoliopsida; Poales; Poaceae. The record is from RNAcentral.
AUGGAUACUACAGCAAGCAACGCCGCGCUGGUGCCCCGCAACAUAGUGAAUGAUGCUGCUGCCCCGCGUUCUCCUUCGCCGGAUCCAGAAGCUGAACUUAUGAAGCGCCAUUUCUCUGGAGAAGAAGCCGAAGGGCAAUUCCCCCUGACCGCGAGCCCAUCCAUUCUCCUCCACGUGCUCUCAUCCUCUGGGCUGGAUCCUAAAGAUCUUGCUGCUUUGGAGGCUACAUGUAAAUUCUUCAGAAAUCCCGCAAAAUUCCCACCAGACUUGCAAUUACCACUUCCGGAACUUGCAGCAUUCGACAUGUGCCAGCAAAGGGCCAUGUUUAAGCCGAUGAAACCAGAAGAGAAGGAGUGGCUGAAGCAAAGGUGCGGGGGCUCUUGGAAGCUUGUUCUUGGAUACAUUUUGGUCGGCGAGAAGAAUUGCCGCCGCGGGAAAUCUCAGGUCACUGCUGGACCAGGCCACAGCAUUGUGGUCACCGCAAGUGGGGCCGUAUACUCAUUUGGCAUGAAUUCCUCGGGCCAGCUAGGCCUUGGGGACACAGAAGACAAGUUCAAGCCAUGCCUUAUCAGGUCUCUGCAAGGCAUCAGGAUCACGCAUGCCGCGGUUGGAUCGAGUCGAACAAUGCUCGUGAGCGACACGGGAAGUGUCUACGUAUUUGGAAUCGACACCUUUGGGGGGUAUAGUUUGAAUGGAGCACUUGCUACUGACUACGUUAACAUGCUUGCAAAGCGGACACAAAUCACAAUUUGGCCAGUACGGUGCCUCCAAGAAGGGUGCGACUUCGGAAGCCGCCACUGUCCGAUCCGGGGAUCAAGUUUUCAGCUGGAGCAUCACGAAAGGGGUGGGAACACCACAACAAAGCCUGUAAAGACGAACAGACAUCCGCGGACGCCGUCGUCGUCGACCGGUCCAGGGACGGGCAAGUGGUGUACCCCGGUGCUCAAACCCCUCUGUCACAUCCACACUCCGCCAACCACCCGCAACCAUGUUGCCCGAGUGGCCGUGGCUGUUCGCCCGCACCCCAGCCGCGUGAUCCGCCAUGAUCAUCAUGCCUCCCACCGCCAGGGUCGCCGCCCUGCAUCCAGACCACCCAUGAGAACAUCAAAGGAUGCGACUUUGACCAAAUCAGCCAACCCAAACACCAAAACUUGGAUGUAUCAUCGGCAUGCUGUACAAAUCAUCACUAGCAUUAUUUGGUUCUUUCAUACAAGAAGUGGAAACAGCCUCUCCAGGUCUCUUGUCAAAUCUGCUUAG